CGAUGGCGACCGGCGCACGGGUGAGUAACACGUAUCCAACCUGCCGUCUACUCUUGGACAGCCUUCUGAAAGGAAGAUUAAUACAAGAUGGCAUCAUGAGUCCGCAUGUUCACAUGAUUAAAGGUAUUCCGGUAGACGAUGGGGAUGCGUUCCAUUAGAUAGUAGGCGGGGUAACGGCCCACCUAGUCUUCGAUGGAUAGGGGUUCUGAGAGGAAGGUCCCCCACAUUGGAACUGAGACACGGUCCAAACUCCUACGGGAGGCAGCAGUGAGGAAUAUUGGUCAAUGGGCGCAGGCCUGAACCAGCCAAGUAGCGUGAAGGAUGACUGCCCUAUGGGUUGUAAACUUCUUUUAUAAAGGAAUAAAGUCGGGUAUGUAUACCCGUUUGCAUGUACUUUAUGAAUAAGGAUCGGCUAACUCCGUGCCAGCAGCCGCGGUAAUACGGAGGAUCCGAGCGUUAUCCGGAUUUAUUGGGUUUAAAGGGAGCGUAGAUGGAUGUUUAAGUCAGUUGUGAAAGUUUGCGGCUCAACCGUAAAAUUGCAGUUGAUACUGGAUAUCUUGAGUGCAGUUGAGGCAGGCGGAAUUCGUGGUGUAGCGGUGAAAUGCUUAGAUAUCACGAAGAACUCCGAUUGCGAA
Molecule: ribosomal RNA, 635 nt
Filed under: uncultured Bacteroidales bacterium
Lineage: Bacteria; Pseudomonadati; Bacteroidota; Bacteroidia; Bacteroidales
Description: bacterial SSU rRNA
Rfam family: Bacterial small subunit ribosomal RNA
Source: RNAcentral